RNAcentral lists this long non-coding RNA (3978 nucleotides) under Equus caballus (horse). RNAcentral's name for it is "lncRNA (ENSECAG00000044146.1)". Lineage: Eukaryota; Metazoa; Chordata; Mammalia; Perissodactyla; Equidae. The record is from RNAcentral.
UAUACUGUAAGAGGAAGGAAGGCGGGCUGGCCUGGUGGCACAGUGGUUAAGUGCACACAUUCCACUUCAGCGGCCCAGGGUUCACCGUUUCGGAUCCUGGGUGCGAACGUGGCACCACUUGGCAAGUGGUGAUAGGCGUCCACAAAAAAGUAGAGGAAGAUGGGCACUGAUGUUAGCUCAGGGCCAGUCUUCCUUAGCAAAAAGAGGAGGAUUGGCAGCAGAUGUUAGCUCAGGGCUAAUCUUCCUCAAAAAAAAAAAAAAGGAGGGAAGAGGAAAAGGCAGCUUUGCCAAAAUGAUUUGGUAAAGGACAGAGAAGUAACGUACACGGAAAAAAAAGGAGGAACUCAAUCUUUGUCUUGUUAAAUUAGGUCAAAGAGAACUUCCAAAUCUAGUAAUCAAAUCAAUGCUCCAAUUAAAACAGAGAUCACUUAUUAUGUGUGAAAUAUUAUUUUAACAUCCAUGAAUAUGAGACAGAUAACAAUAGGUAUUUACCAUAGACCAUUCAGAGUCUUGUCUUAUACUUGAUUCACUGAGUAGUUCAGAUACUUAUCUGUUCCCUACACCAAAGGCAGCUAAGUCAAUUGUCUUCUAUUUCACAUACGCGUCGUCUCUAAUUUUCAAGGAAGUUCUCUGAGAUAGGCAUUUGUUGCAGGCAAAAUUUUGAAGAUGGCCCCCACAGAUGUUUCAUCCCAAUCCUAGAACCUUGAAUAUGAUGAGAUUUCACUCUGCUGAUUAUAUUGUGUUACAUGGCACAGUUGACCUUAGGAAAGGGAGGUUAUCCAAGUGGGCCUGAUCUAAAUAUAGGAGUCCUGAAAAGCUGAGUCCUUAAAUGGCUGACAGCAGAAGUCAGAGACACUCCAAGUGUGAGAAGGACUUGACGUGUCGUUGCUAGUUCAAAGAUGGAGGGGUCAGCCUCAGGAAACAGAAUGUGGGCAGCCUUAAAGAGCUGAGAGAGGCCCCCACUGACAGCCAAGGAGACAGGGACGUCAGUCCUAUAACCACAAGGAACUGAAUUCUGCCAAUAACAGGAAUGUGCUUAGGAGAGGACCCUUAGCUCCAGCAGAGAACGCAGCCGACCCACACCUUGAUUCCAGCCUGUGAGACUGUGAGCAGAAAACACCCACUGGGACUUCUAACCAACAGCACUGUGAGAUAAGAAAUGGGUGUUCCAAUCCUCUAGAUGGGUGUUAAUUUGUUACACUGCAAUAGAAAACUAACUUCCUUCUACAGAGGAGGAAACUGAGGCUCAAAGAAGUUAAAUUGGUUAAAAGUAUCUUGUGAAUGUGGUGAGGGCAGGGUUUGACUCAGGCCUGACAUCAGAGCCAGUUCACCCUUCUCCCUCACUGCCCAUAACAGGGGAGCUGCCCGUCCUGCCCACGCGGCUGCUAAGUAAUGUGUUAGCCAACCAGGAGCCACGGGGUGAAAAAGAAUAAAGCUCCCUCUGACUGAGGAAAGGAUGACUCACAUUCUUACUUAUUUUUAGAAACCAGCAUGAAACUAUGGGCUGAACAAUAGCUUGGGUUUCUGCUGUGAUCUGGAUCGGUGGGAGUGGCCCCCACUAUCUGCUCUGAGAUGUAUUAGCUGGUCUCCUUUUUAGCCACAAGGACUAGGUGACUGAUCUCCAAACAAGUGAACCUGAAUGGAUUUAGACAGAUUAACAUUCUAACAGCAAGAAGCAGUUUGGGGAAGAAAAAGCAAAUCCUGUGGCCCUUGUUAGCAUAGUGAAACACACACACAACACAUUCAAUAAAACCCCUCUCUCUGAGGCCUGGCUUUGUAAAUAUUAGCUUUAUAAAGGUAUAUCAGGUUAAAAAGGAGUUGCUUUGAAGAGCAGUUACCAUCAGGAUCUGGCCUCAGCUCCUUAUGUGACCUUUCCUUCCUCUUUCCAUCUUACUCCACCCUAGCCACAGGGCUGUCGGGCAUUCCCUUGGUAUGCCAAGCCUUGUGGUGCCUCAGGGCCAUUACACUGCUGUUCCUCAUGGCCUGGAGCAUCCUGCCUCUAGUUCCUGCCUUAAUUCACUCAGAUCGCUGCUUGAGUGGCAUCUUCUGGAGUGUCUUUCCCUGACCAUCUUAUUUAAAGCAGUUGUGCUGCCUGCCUGUCACUCUCUCGUUACUCUGCUUCCUUUUUCACCAUAACACUUCGACCACCUCAUGGGCCUCACGCAUGAGAAUAUAUUUAUUUGUUUGUUUGUUUGUUAUCAUCUGUCUCCUGCACUAGCAUGUAAGCUCUCGGAGGGCAGAGAAGCUGUGUUUCCUUUCUUCUUUGCUGUAUCUCCUGUGUCGAAAACAAUUCAUGGCACACAGCAGGGACUCAAAUAUUCAUUGAAUGAAUGAAUGCAUCAGAAACAAAAGUAUUGUGUCUGUUUAAACAUUUGUCACUCUUGAGGUAUCCCUGCAUCCAAUUUUUUUUCUCUUUUUUUAUAGCAUUUGCUAACCUGUUCAAUAUGGAAAAGACACUUGACUGCAUGGUUGUGCAAAGUCUGGGAUAAAAAGGAUUAAACACUAGAGAGUGUGGUAUAAGGAUGAAGUUCUUCAUCGCCUUUCCAGAGUUGUGUGACCUUUGAAAAGUCAUUUAUUUCUCUUGGCCCCAGGCGUAUAACUUUACAGUGGAGAAUCCUUAAGCAAAUAAUGAAGGUUAAUACCACCACUCAGAAGAGAUAUCAAUAUCCUGUUCACCCUCAAAUGAGGCACCAAGGACGCAUCACUUCUGUGGUACUCCUGCCAAGAAGGCAAACUUCAGUCUAAUCAUGAGUAAACAUCAGACGAAGCCAAACUGAGAGACGUUCGAAAAAUGAUUAGCUGGUACUGAUCAAUAGUGUCAAGGCCAGGAAAGGAAUGCAAAGACCGAGCAACUGUUGCAGGUUGGCGGAAACUAAGACACAGCAACUAAAUGCAAUAUAUCGACAUUUCUGCUCAUGUGAACUCUGUUUCUGAGCCCGGAAACUUCGACAUUCAACAACGAAAACUGAUGAGGGCUCCCAGGGUCGAUGAGCCUCACGUCAUCAUCCAGUCCCUGUUUCAUCAGACAUUCAAAUAGGAUUAUCCAUAUUUCUAUUUGGAUGCUUACUUUGAUUACAACAUUGAAAAAUUCACCAUUAUUGUUGUUUCUACUGCCUUAAUACCGUUAUUGUUGUAUUAAUAAUGAAUAUUGUAUGGAACACUUGUAUAUUGCCACUCACAAAGUAUCUUUUAAAAGAGUACCUUAUUUGAUCUGUAUUACUGUCCUUUGGGGAAGUACAGGAGGGUAGAUAAAAGAAUAAGAUUCAGAGUUUUACCAAGUUGUCUUUCUUUUUGAAAGAUUGGUUCUGAGCUAACAUCUUUUCCCAAUCUUUUUUUUUCCUUCUCUCCAAAGCCCCCCAGUACAUAGUUGUAUAUUCUAGUUGUAGGUCCCUCUGUUUGUACUAUGUGAGACGCCGCCUCAGCAUGGCCUGAUGAGCGGUGCUAUGUCCGCACCCAGGAUCCAAACCUGCGAAACCCUGGGCAGCCGAAUUGGAGCGUAGGAACUUAACCACUCGGCCACCAGGCCGGCCCCUCAAGUUGGCUUUGAAUCCCAGCUCUAUUCUUAAAUUUGGUUAGUCUCGAUGUCCUUAAGGGUAAAAUGGAGAUAGUACAACCUAACUCACACAGUUGUGGGUGGAUUUGGAGAAAUGAUACACAGAGCCUAGCUCAGUGACUGGGACAUAAAAGAACCCCAUAAAUGGUAGCUAUUACUUCUGUUGUUAUAAUUAUUCUCCUUUUCUACACAAGGAAACUGACGCUCAAAGAGAUGAAGAGAUUUACUGGGGAUUGUUUAUGCCAUUAGUAAUAAAGCUGUGGUUCAACUAUAAGUCUUCUGGAGUCAAAACCUGUCUGUGUUCUUUCCACAGUAUGACAUUGCCACCCAAAAGAACUCUUUUAGUAGACUAAAAGUGCCUAGUUUUGUUAUUUAACUUGUUUAAAAGAUAUUGGUUGUUUUUAAAAUAAAUUUUAUUUGAUGUU